CCUUUAAUGCCUUUAUAAACUGUGAAAAAAUGAUUUGGGCACUGAGAUUAACUCGGAAUUUCUCCAAAAUACCAGUUGUUUGAGUUCAAUCCGAUCCCUUAAAUACUUACUGAGUUUUUUAUAAUCAAAGAAUGGCGAUGCCGUGGAGCAUGACGCUGUGGAUAUCAAAGAUAGUGUGGUUGGCGCUUGCUGGUUGGAUCACCUCUUGCUUGAUCGUCGCUGAUGACAUCGCCGGCUCUAUUCGCACCGGUGAUAUUGGCGCCUUUCAUGUCGGUUGAUUUCAUAUAACAUUUUGAUUUUGAAGCAAUUCUCAUGGCAGUCACAAAAUCUGUUCUUGGAAAGCUUGCUUCCUUCACUGGUGAUAUUGCUUUGACCUCGGCUACAGAAGAGAUCCGAACCGCCAAAUCAGCUAAAAAGGAUCUUAAGAUAAUAGCGAGCAAACUGUCUGCCAUUUGUGCUGUUCUUCACGAUGCAGAGCAGAGGUUGUACACAAAUGAGUCGAUCAAGAUUUGGUUAAGGGAUCUCAAGGACGUUGUUUAUGACAUAGAUGAUCUUUUGGAUGAAGUCGCAACUUAUGCUUUGCAGUGUAGUGCCAAUAAAGGUCAUGUGCUAAUCCAGUUGAGGUACUAUUUUUCCUCCUCAAAUCCUUUCAUUUUCCGCUUAGAGUUGAGCCACAAAAUAAAAGACCUCCGCGAAAAAAUAGAGGACAUAGUUGCUAAGAAAAAUGAAUUUGGAUUGACUGAGCAUCCAGUUGAAAUCAAACCGGUAGAGAGGAAUCCCUUAGAUGCAUGUGCUUAUGUGAAUAUGUCGGAUAUUAUCGGAAGAAAUGACGAUAGAGUGGGUAUUGUAAGCAUGUUAUUAGCCAUUGAUGCUCUUAAUCAUCUACCUGUGAUUCCUAUAGUGGGGUUGGGAGGAGUUGGGAAAACUGCAUUGGCUAAGUUAGUGUACCAUGAUGAAUGGGUUGUACGUGCAUUUGAUAUCAAGCUUUGGGCAUGUAUCUCUCACAAGUUUGACAUGCAGAAAAUCAUGGAGGACGUUGUAAAAUCUGCUGUUGAUGACAAUUUAUCCGGCCUUAGCUUAGGUCGAACUGUUGAAAAACUUCAAAAGUUAUUGAGGGGGAAGAAGUAUUUUCUUGUGCUAGAUGAUAUAUGGGUACAUGACAUUGCGGUGUGGGCAGAGUUUAAGAACAUACUUGCGGUUGGUAAAGCAGGAAGUGUGCUUUUGGUCACUACAAGGCAUGCAAAUGUUGCUUCUGUCGUUGGAACUGUAGAACCUUACAAUUUGGUUGGUCUUUCAGAUCAAAAUUCUUGGUCUAUCUUCAAACAAUUAGCAUUCAUGGAAGGAGACGAAAAAAGAUAUCCAGAUCUUGUUCAUAUAGGAAGGUCUAUUGUGGAGAAAUGCGUUGGAGUUCCACUUCUUAUUAAAACUUUAGCGAGUUUUUUACGAGGCGUGAGAGACAAGAAAGAAUGGCAACAGGUCAAUAAGAAAGGCAGCCUCGUAGAGGUGCAAACUCAGAGCACUGACGUUAUGCGAGUUUUAAAACUUAGCUAUGACAAACUUCCCUCUCACUUAAAGCCAUGCUUUGUUUACUGUUCAUUGUAUGUGAAGGCUUCUGGAAUUUAUCCAAGAGUUUUAUCAAAUUAUUGGAGUGCCUUAGGAUUGCUGCAGCAAAGUGAUAAAGAUCACAAGAAUGAAGUAAAUGGAUACAAUUACUUGACAGAUUUGAUAGCAAGAUCCCUUCUUCAAGAACUGUGGGUUUUCUUUGACGGAACUGUAUUCUGCUGUCAAAUGCAUGAUCUCUUACACGAUCUAGCAACAAAUAUAAUAGGAGAAGAGUUAGCUGUUGUAACAUGUAAUGAGCUCAAAGUUUCUGAGAUGUCUAGGCAUUUAGUAUGGGGAUACGAGGCACGGGAUGGGCUAUUGGAAAAGGAAUUCCCGAAGGAACUAGUCAAGGCAAAGAAUGUUCUAACAUUCAGAUUUGGUUAUAAGAUGGGUCAGAUAAGCAAAUCCUUUCUUAGAGACAUUAUAACCAGUUUAGAACGCUUACGUAUCUUGGAUCUUGGGAAUAGUUACUUCGAGGAGUUGCCUGAACUGAUUGGAAAUUUGAAGCAUUUGAGGUAUCUUGACUUGGGGAAUAAUUAUAUGCUUAAAAAGCUCCCUAGUACGAUAUGCCAGUUACUAAACCUGCAAACGUUUCAUAUUUAUGGUUGUAAGCAGUUGAAAGAGCUGCCCAAAGACAUGAACAGGUUGGUAAGCCUUGGGGAUUUAAGUGUGACUACCAGCCAAAUGUGUUUAGCAGAUUCUAAAAUUAAUGGUCUGAGUUCUUUACGGCGUUUGGUGCUCUAUUCCUGUAAGGGGCUAACAUCCUUGUGGGAUGGUGCUUCUGUUUUAUGCAUCACAUCUCUCCGAGAGCUGCAGAUAAAUAACUGUUCUAAAUUGGCUAGCCUUCCGAAUAGCAUGAAUCAACUUGUUGUCCUUGAGAGAUUAGUUAUAUCUUAUUGUGAAGAGUUGGAUUUGGAGGUUGGGAAGGGCCUGCAUGGUCUUCACAACCUUCAAACAUUAGAGAUUGUAGGGGUUCCGAAGUUGGGUUCUUUACCAGAUGGUAUCCAAUCUGCUGCAUCCUCUCUUAUAAAUCUCUCACUCGGAUGUUGUACAAGUAUAACUCAGCUUCCUCAUUGGCUGCAACAUUUCACUCGUCUUCGUAGACUUCACAUUUACAGUUGCCAUAAUUUGUUGGCUUUGCCAGAGGGAUUUGGACAUCUUCAUUCUUUGGAGACUUUGAGGAUCCGAAAUUGCUCCCAUUUGACAACUAGAUGUGCAAAACCGUGUGGAGAAGACUUUUCUUACAUACAACAUGUUCACGAAAUUUUCCUUGACAAUCAACGACUCUGAGGAUUUCAAUCUCAAUAAAGCAGAGGUUUGGAACACAAGUCUGAUAAAAAAACGGACGUGAUCAUGGAGAGUAAAUUUUGUGAGAACUACGACCAUCAUAAACUGCAUUACAUGAGAUGGUGGGAAAAUAACUUCAGAUUUUUUCCACGCCACAAGAGGAUCUGCUUAUACAUAGUAUGUAUUUAUAUUUGAGAAACUCAUGGACAAUGGGAGGCUAUCUUGUCUGACCAAAAUGAUGUGACCUAAGCUAGAUGUAUGGGGGUACCCGGUGAUUAUGUGUCCUUGAGCUUAUGAGAAUUACUUUGAGUACAGGAAAAUAACUCUUAUUUUGUUGAUUGGGAGAUCGUUUACAAUACCAAUGUUAUCGGUGUUGGACUGUUGGGGGCAUGUUAGGCUUGAAUAGGCUUGUUGUUGCAUAGGAAUGUGGUUGAUUUAUGUUUGGUCAUAAUGUGUUAAACGUCAAAGCCGUUGGAGUUGGAUCUUAGUUGUUGGACUGAAGAUGAAGUUUCUUUUUUAGGUGUAACAGUGCAAGGGGUUGGGCUAGCAACCAAGUGAUGAAAAUGUGUUACUAAGAAUGUAUUGUAUGUUGGGACCUCUUCUUUCUUGGCUUCUCUGCUUUAUCCGGCUUUUGGGUUCCGGGUUUCAGUUGGGUUAGUCUGUCAAUGAAGGGGGGUUUUGAAAAUCAUAGUACAAAUUGUAGCUUUGUAGUCUAGCCUGGUCAAAGGGAACUUGGGGAGUUAAGACUCAGUGAUGGUUGUAAACUACCCCGAACCAUGUAAGAAUACGAAGUUCAAUUAGGCAGAGCUGAUGGUCUUUGCAUGAGUAAGAUAAUAUGCACCUUUUGUCAAACCUUGCAAAAAGGAUCAAGAGGCAGCCUCAAUGCCGAGCUCUGAGGUUGUUGAUGAUUACAUCUUCCAUCUGUGCCUAUGACAAGCAUUUUGGGUUAAUUUUUAACUUGUAAACCCAUCAAGGUUUCCUGUCGGUACUAGUAGUAUGCCAGUAUGGGCUGCUCAGUUGUAGUCCCUGUGACUCUUUCGCAGGGCACGGGUGUUAAUCUUGUUACUGAGACUUCUUUUUUAUAUACGGAGUAGUUAAUAACUUAAUAUGGAUUAUUGGAUUAUCAUACAUGACCCGUAUUAUGUAUCACAGGAAUAUAUCAGUUUCAUUUCUGCUUCAA
Spinacia oleracea (spinach) is the source of this 4069-nucleotide RNA transcript. It is a transcript of the gene named putative disease resistance protein RGA3, with no coding region annotated. The transcript has 4 exons. The record is from RefSeq and is a predicted model, not a curated record. Lineage: Eukaryota; Viridiplantae; Streptophyta; Magnoliopsida; Caryophyllales; Amaranthaceae.